Long non-coding RNA from Coffea arabica (coffee), 369 nucleotides. RefSeq lists it as uncharacterized. NCBI's taxonomy places the organism in Eukaryota, Viridiplantae, Streptophyta, Magnoliopsida, Gentianales, Rubiaceae. The record is from RefSeq and is a predicted model, not a curated record.
UUGGAAGUGGUUUAGGUUGUUAUGGGAUAAUGUAAUGAGUUUACGUUUCUUUAGAUUGAGGCUGAUUUACAGAUGAAUUCCAUGUUCAAGAUGGAAAAAAAACUACUUGAUUACGUGGCUGAACAUAUUCAAUAGGAAGCAAGAGGUAGAGCAAUACCAAAGAAAAAUUCAGUUGAAGUUUCAAAGUCUGCUGAUUGUUCCCUUGAGGAAAACACAACUCCAACGAUUGUAUUGCAGAAUGAGAGCAAAAUUUAUGUCAUCGAAAUGAUAAAAAAGAAUUUCCAUCAAAACUGAAAUUUGUGGCUGAUCAUUCUCUCGAAGAAGGCGAAAUGCUUGUUUUUCUUCCUCAAUCCAGCAAUUCUUUUGCUG